Long non-coding RNA from Carassius auratus (goldfish), 434 nucleotides. RefSeq lists it as uncharacterized. The transcript is spliced from 2 exons. The record is from RefSeq and is a predicted model, not a curated record. Lineage: Eukaryota; Metazoa; Chordata; Actinopteri; Cypriniformes; Cyprinidae.
UUCUCAGGACUCACGCAGCAAACAAGUCUUUUUGGCGCCUGAAACUCCUUAACCCGAGAGCUUUUUUUGGAAAGAGAGAAGGUUUUACAUAAAAAGUCUGUCCGUAAUGCGAGGUAGCUUCGUGCAAAGCGCUUUUAUUUAAGUCAUCGCCUGAUGAGGCACAAAGAGCUGCCGAAGCUUUAGACGUGGAGUCUUCUGAGAUCCGCUUCAACCACACACAAACAUCCAGUAAAGCCCCUCCAGCAACCAUCACACCUUCAAAGAAGCUCCUCCCAUGACAAUCACACCUUCAGUGAAGCUCCUCCCACAACAACCACGCCUUCAGUGAAGCUCCUCCCACAACAAUCACACCUUUAGUGAAACUCCUCCCACAACAAUCACACCUUCAGUGAAGCUCCUCCCAAAACAAUCACACCUUCAGUGAAGCUCCUCCC